RNAcentral lists this ribosomal RNA (484 nucleotides) under uncultured bacterium. Its description in RNAcentral is "partial 16S ribosomal RNA". It matches the Rfam family "Bacterial small subunit ribosomal RNA", at positions 30 to 507 of the family's 1533-position model. The record is from RNAcentral.
AUUGAACGCUGGCGGCAUGCCUAACACAUGCAAGUCGAGCGGAUGAAGGGAGCUUGCUCCUGGAUUCAGCGUCGGAAGGGUGAGUAAUGCCUAUGAAUCUCCUUGGUAGUGGUGGAUAACGUCUUCAAACGGGUGCUAAUACCGCAUACGUCCUGAGGCAGAUAGUUGGGGAUCUUUGGACCUCACGCUAUCAGAUGAGCCUAGGUCGGAUUAGCUAGUUGGUGGGUUAAGGGCCUACCAAGGCGACGAUCCGUAACUGGUCUGAGAGGAUGAUUGGCCGCACUGGAACGGGACCAGGGACAAGGCUCCUACGGGAGGCAGCAGUGUGGAAUAUUGGGCAGUAGGCGAAAACAUGAUACAGCCAUGCGACGUGUGUGAAGAAAGUCUUCGGAUUGUGAAGCACUUUAAGUUGGGGGAAAGCGCAGUAAGUUAAUACCAUGCUGUAUUGACGUUACCGACAGAAGAAGCACCGGCUAACUUCGUG